CUGAGAUACGGCCCAGACUCCUACGGGAGGCAGCAGUGGGGAAUAUUGCACAAUGGGCGCAAGCCUGAUGCAGCGACGCCGCGUGGGGGAUGACGGCCUUCGGGUUGUAAACCUCUUUCAGUAGGGACGAAGCGCAAGUGACGGUACCUACAGAAGAAGCACCGGCCAACUACGUGCCAGCAGCCGCGGUAAUACGUAGGGUGCGAGCGUUGUCCGGAAUUACUGGGCGUAAAGAGCUCGUAGGUGGUUUGUCGCGUUGUUCGUGAAAUCUCACAGCUUAACUGUGAGCGUGCGGGCGAUACGGGCAGACUGGAGUACUGC
Molecule: ribosomal RNA, 321 nt
Filed under: uncultured Actinomycetes bacterium
Lineage: Bacteria; Bacillati; Actinomycetota; Actinomycetes
Description: bacterial SSU rRNA
Rfam family: Bacterial small subunit ribosomal RNA
Source: RNAcentral